GAAUGCAGCUAAAUUAGCUUUGUUUCAGGCUCAGGAGGAUGUUGGGUUUCGAUGCCAGCUGUCAAAAGCCGAUAGGUUUUGACUGUUGGAUAGUGUUCAACUCCUCUGCAUUCCUGUGCACAAGCUAGCCAACAACAGUUGUCUGUGGCUGAUGAGGGCAGGUGGGUAGGUAGUUCACUGAAAUUCAGAGAAAACGUAUAGCCAUCUGUCUGGAAGUCUGCGGAUGACUGAGGAAAACUGGUAGCACAGGCCCUCUGGGUUUGGGCCGCUUCUGGUCGUUCUGGGUACCACUUGUGGGACUGCUUGCAGUGCCAUUCGAUGGUUGUCUGCUCGAGCGGGAGACUGGUCACACCUUGUGCUGUAGUUGUUGGUGUUCAAAUGGCUGCAUCCGACC
Molecule: ribosomal RNA, 394 nt
Filed under: Suberites sp. 1 JV-2020
Lineage: Eukaryota; Metazoa; Porifera; Demospongiae; Suberitida; Suberitidae
Description: partial large subunit ribosomal RNA
Source: RNAcentral